RNAcentral lists this ribosomal RNA (254 nucleotides) under uncultured bacterium. RNAcentral's name for it is "partial 16S ribosomal RNA". It matches the Rfam family "Bacterial small subunit ribosomal RNA", at positions 524 to 776 of the family's 1533-position model. The record is from RNAcentral.
UACGAAGGGUGCGAGCGUUAAUCGGAAUUACUGGGCGUAAAGCGUGCGUAGGUGGCUUGAUAAGUCGGAUGUGAAAGCCCCGGGCUCAACCUGGGAACUGCAUCCGAUACUGUCGAGCUUGGAGUUUGGAAGAGGGUGGUGGAAUUCCCGGUGUAGCGGUGAAAUGCGUAGAGAUCGGGAGGAACAUCAGUGGCGAAGGCGGCCACCUGGUCCAAAACUGACGCUGAUGCACGAAAGCGUGGGGAGCAAACAGG